This 491-nucleotide ribosomal RNA is filed under the name uncultured bacterium. RNAcentral describes it as "bacterial SSU rRNA". It matches the Rfam family "Bacterial small subunit ribosomal RNA", at positions 903 to 1397 of the family's 1533-position model. The record is from RNAcentral.
AAAGGAAUAGACGGGGGCCCGCACAAGCAGCGGAGCAUGUGGUUUAAUUCGAAGCAACGCGAAGAACCUUACCAGGACUUGACAUCGUCUGAAUUACCCAUAACAGGGGAAGUCCUACGGGACAGACAGACAGGUGGUGCAUGGUUGUCGUCAGCUCGUGUCGUGAGAUGUUGGGUUAAGUCCCGCAACGAGCGCAACCCCUAUUACUAGUUGCCAUCAUUAAGCUGGGCACUCUAGUGAGACUGCCGGAGACAAUUCGGAGGAAGGUGGGGAUGACGUCAAAUCAUCAUGCCCCUUAUGUUCUGGGCUACACACGUGCUACAAUGGGUGUAACAACGGGAAGCAAGCCGGUGACGGCAAGCCAAUCCCUAAAAAGCACUCUCAGUUCGGAUUGCAGGCUGAAACCCGCCUGCAUGAAGAUGGAGUUGCUAGUAAUCGCGAAUCAGCAUGUCGCGGUGAAUACGUUCCCGGGCCUUGUACACACCGCCCGU